This 331-nucleotide ribosomal RNA is filed under the name Thelephora sp. tdb1504. Its description in RNAcentral is "LSU rRNA". It matches the Rfam family "Bacterial large subunit ribosomal RNA", at positions 1721 to 2063 of the family's 2925-position model. Lineage: Eukaryota; Fungi; Basidiomycota; Agaricomycetes; Thelephorales; Thelephoraceae. The record is from RNAcentral.
UUUAACUCUUUAGUUAAUAGAGUGAGUGUUAGGAGACAACAAACGGUGGUGUCACAAAAUCGGAGGCCACGACUGUUUACUAAAAACACAAUUCAGAGCAAUGAUGAAAAUCAUAGUAUUCUGGAUGAAAUUUGCCCGAUGCCAUUAACAUAAAAGAGGUAAUGGGUAACUGUUACUAAUUGAAAGUCUGGUUAAUAGCGGUCUUAACUAUGAGGAUCCUAAGGUAGCAAAAUCAGUUGGCCAUUAAAUGUGGUCUGGUAUCAAUAGUGUAACGAUGGUCUCACUGUCUCUACAACUUGCUCAGUGAAAUUGAAUUAUCCGUGCAGAUGCG